Molecule: ribosomal RNA, 223 nt
Filed under: uncultured bacterium
Lineage: Bacteria
Description: partial 16S ribosomal RNA
Rfam family: Bacterial small subunit ribosomal RNA
Source: RNAcentral
UAACGCGUGGAUAACCUGCCUCACACAGGGGGAUAACAGUUGGAAACGGCUGCUAAUACCGCAUAAGCGCACAGCACCGCAUGGUGCAGUGUGAAAAACUCCGGUGGUGUGAGAUGGAUCCGCGUCUGAUUAGCUAGUUGGCGGGGUAACGGCCCACCAAGGCGACGAUCAGUAGCCGGCCUGAGAGGGCGACCGGCCACAUUGGGACUGAGACACGGCCCAG